AUGAACGCUGACAGAAUGCUUAACACAUGCAAGUCAACUUGAAUUUGGGUUUUUAACUUAGGUUUGGGUGGCGGACGGGUGAGUAACGCGUAAAGAACUUGCCUCACAGCUAGGGACAACAUUUGGAAACGAAUGCUAAUACCUAAUAUUAUGAUAAUAGGGCAUCCUAUAAUUAUGAAAGCUAUAAGCGCUGUGAGAGAGCUUUGCGUCCCAUUAGCUAGUUGGAGAGGUAACGGCUCACCAAGGCGAUGAUGGGUAGCCAGCCUGAGAGGGUGAUCGGCCACAAGGGGACUGAGACACGGCCCUUACUCCUACGGGAGGCAGCAGUGGGGAAUAUUGGACAAUGGACCGAGAGUCUGAUCCAGCAAUUCUGUGUGCACGAUGAAGUUUUUCGGAAUGUAAAGUGCUUUCAGUUGGGAAGAAACAAAUGACGGUACCAACAGAAGAAGUGACGGCUAAAUACGUG
RNAcentral lists this ribosomal RNA (466 nucleotides) under uncultured bacterium. Its description in RNAcentral is "partial 16S ribosomal RNA". It matches the Rfam family "Bacterial small subunit ribosomal RNA", at positions 29 to 507 of the family's 1533-position model. The record is from RNAcentral.